GGGCAUACUCGUAGACCUUGCCUGACUG
Molecule: non-coding RNA, 28 nt
Filed under: Homo sapiens (human)
Lineage: Eukaryota; Metazoa; Chordata; Mammalia; Primates; Hominidae
Source: RNAcentral